Molecule: ribosomal RNA, 480 nt
Filed under: uncultured bacterium
Lineage: Bacteria
Description: partial 16S ribosomal RNA
Rfam family: Bacterial small subunit ribosomal RNA
Source: RNAcentral
GACGAACGCUGGCGGCGUGCUUAACGCAUGCAAGUCGAACGGAAAGGCCCUGCUUGCAGGGUACUCGAGUGGCGAACGGGUGAGUAACACGUGGGUGAUCUGCCCUGCACUUCGGUAUAAGCCUGGGAAACUGGGUCUAAUACCGGAUAGGAGCCAUUUUUAGUGUGAUGGUUGGAAAGUUUUUUCGGUGUAGGAUGAGCUCGCGGCCUAUCAGCUUGUUGGUGGGGUAAUGGCCUACCAAGGCGGCGACGGGUAGCCGGCCUGAGAGGGUGGACGGCCACAUUGGGACUGAGCUACGGCCCAGACUCCUACGGGAGGCAGCAGUGGGGAAUAUUGCACAAUGGGCGCAAGCCUGAUGCAGCGACGCCGCGUGGGGGAUGACGGCCUUCGGGUUGUAAACUCCUUUCGCUAGGGACGAAGCUUUUGUGACGGUACCUAGAUAAGAAGCACCGGCUAACUACGUGCCAGCCGCCGCGGUAA